UGGGAUACGUGGUCUCAGCCGUUAGUUGA
This 29-nucleotide non-coding RNA is filed under the name Mus musculus (house mouse). The record is from RNAcentral. Lineage: Eukaryota; Metazoa; Chordata; Mammalia; Rodentia; Muridae.